RNAcentral lists this ribosomal RNA (449 nucleotides) under uncultured bacterium. Its description in RNAcentral is "partial 16S ribosomal RNA". It matches the Rfam family "Bacterial small subunit ribosomal RNA", at positions 29 to 523 of the family's 1533-position model. The record is from RNAcentral.
AACGAACGCUGGCGGCAUGCCUAACACAUGCAAGUCGAACGAAGCCUUCGGGCUUAGUGGCGCACGGGUGCGUAACGCGUGGGAAUCUGCCCUUUGGUUCGGAAUAACAGUUGGAAACGACUGCUAAUACCGGAUGAUGACGAAAGUCCAAAGAUUUAUCGCCAGAGGAUGAGCCCGCGUAGGAUUAGCUAGUUGGUGUGGUAAAGGCGCACCAAGGCGACGAUCCUUAGCUGGUCUGAGAGGAUGAUCAGCCACACUGGGACUGAGACACGGCCCAGACUCCUACGGGAGGCAGCAGUGGGGAAUAUUGGACAAUGGGCGAAAGCCUGAUCCAGCAAUGCCGCGUGAGUGAUGAAGGCCUUAGGGUUGUAAAGCUCUUUUACCCGGGAUGAUAAUGACAGUACCUGAAGAAUAAGCAUCGGCUAACUCCGUGCCAGCCGCCGCGGUAA